RNAcentral lists this ribosomal RNA (571 nucleotides) under uncultured bacterium. RNAcentral's name for it is "partial 16S ribosomal RNA". It matches the Rfam family "Bacterial small subunit ribosomal RNA", at positions 355 to 919 of the family's 1533-position model. The record is from RNAcentral.
UGGGGAAUUUUGGACAAUGGGCGAAAGCCUGAUCCAGCAAUGCCGCGCGUGUGAAGAAGGCCUUCGGGUUGUAAAGCACUUUUGUCCGGAAAGAAAUCCUUGGCUCUAAUACAGUCGGGGGAUGACGGUACCGGAAGAAUAAGCACCGGCUAACUACGUGCCAGCAGCCGCGGUAAUACGUAGGGUGCAAGCGUUAAUCGGAAUUACUGGGCGUAAAGCGUGCGCAGGCGGUUUGCUAAGACCGAUGUGAAAUCCCCGGGCUCAACCUGGGAACUGCAUUGGUGACUGGCAGGCUAGAGUAUGGCAGAGGGGGGUAGAAUUCCACGUGUAGCAGUGAAAUGCGUAGAGAUGUGGAGGAAUACCGAUGGCGAAGGCAGCCCCCUGGGCCAAUACUGACGCUCAUGCACGAAAGCGUGGGGAGCAAACAGGAUUAGAUACCCUGGUAGUCCACGCCCUAAACGAUGUCAACUAGUUGUUGGGGAUUCAUUUCCUUAGUAACGUAGCUAACGCGUGAAGUUGACCGCCUGGGGAGUACGGUCGCAAGAUUAAAACUUAAAGGAAUUGACGGGGU